ACAGGGUAUGGUCUCCGACCGCGUGUGUUCGAAUCGCACAGCGACCGGGUCGUUUGCCAGAGUGGUUAAUGGGUGCCCCUGCUACU
This 86-nucleotide transfer RNA is filed under the name Rhizoctonia solani AG-1 IB. RNAcentral describes it as "tRNA-Ser". The record is from RNAcentral. Lineage: Eukaryota; Fungi; Basidiomycota; Agaricomycetes; Cantharellales; Ceratobasidiaceae.